AUGCGGGAGAAGCCUAGGCGCUGCGGGUGGAAGAGACAAGGAGGAAAGAGGCGUCCCGCUGACCUUUGCAGACCAGGCCCUUUUUAUCCAGAGGCCCGCAACACAGGGGUGCCCGGCCUUCUCGCCUUUUUGAAGAUCUUCCCGGCCACUGCUGCUCAGCUACAAACAGCACCAGCGCAUCCUGGAGCUCCGGUGAAAGUGCAUCUCUUCUUCUGCCUUCCAAAGAGGGUUACUCGUAAACAACUGGCCCUUCCAUGGACUCUCCACCAGUCUCCUGCAAACACCCAUCACCUCCAAUUGUCUCAUCUUCUCCAGUACCCAUUACCGUGGGUGUGUCCAGGGAGCUCUGUGGGAGUUAUCUUUGUUCUCCACAUUGGCCAUGUUGAGGAAAGAGCCGUUUGUUUCCAGGAGCUUUAUGUAACCUCAGUACAAAUUGGAGCACCAAGAUCUGCAGGCUUUGCCUCAAGAAUAUCAGCAUCAGAGCCCUUCUCCUGACCCCAAGGACUUCAGGGAUGAUCUGGAAGCUUUCAGGGUGUGACUGCUGUCUUAAGGCAGCAUUGGAGAGGAGCAAUGACAAGGAGUAGGGGAGCAACCUAAAGCAAAGUGCAAUGUGGGUUGUAUAUGAAAAUAUAGUGAUGAAAUCCACUAUUCUGUAUGAUAACUAAACAUUUUAAUAAAGGAAGAAAAACAACACAAGUCCAGGGUCAAGUGGAAAGCAAUAAACUAAACUAUAAAUCCCCCUGUGCCCAGUGUGGUGGUGUACCUGCACUGACUCCCCUGGUCACUACUCUGUCACACACAAAAGUAGCCUCUCUAUAAUCAUCAAUCUGUCCUUUGAUGGAGCACACUAGCAGCUGCAGGCUAGGUGUCCUCCUAAUGCCACAGCAUUGAAGCCACUUCAGAGAGAAUAUAAAGGCAGAGGUUUUCACUCUUGGAAGUAAGCCUAAAGAUCAUCUGGUCUACCCACAGCAGUUCACAGAUGACAGGAACUGAGAGAAGACAAAGAACCACUCCCCAAGGAAGAGCCCAGACUGGAGCUCUUCUUCAUAGCCCUGGGUCUAACACAUCUGUGAUGGCAGGGUCCCUUCUCCCUGUGAGAUAAAUUAGGUUCCACAUAGUUUAAUAAAGCAUACUACUGAAUGCCAUCAUUUAUAUUUAUAUUUGAUAUUUUCAUCAUUGUAAUAAGUCCUAUAAAUAAAAGGUAAAUGACAUUGUCA
RNAcentral lists this long non-coding RNA (1217 nucleotides) under Cricetulus griseus (Chinese hamster). RNAcentral's name for it is "lncRNA (ENSCGRG00000025643.1)". Lineage: Eukaryota; Metazoa; Chordata; Mammalia; Rodentia; Cricetidae. The record is from RNAcentral.